This 1352-nucleotide ribosomal RNA is filed under the name uncultured bacterium. RNAcentral's name for it is "bacterial SSU rRNA". It matches the Rfam family "Bacterial small subunit ribosomal RNA", at positions 28 to 1381 of the family's 1533-position model. The record is from RNAcentral.
AUUGAACGCUGGCGGCAUGCCUUACACAUGCAAGUCGAACGGCAGCACGGAGCUUGCUCUGGUGGCGAGUGGCGAACGGGUGAGUAAUAUAUCGGAACGUACCCUAGAGUGGGGGAUAACGUAGCGAAAGUUACGCUAAUACCGCAUACGAUCUAUGGAUGAAAGUGGGGGAUCGCAAGACCUCAUGCUCGUGGAGCGGCCGAUAUCUGAUUAGCUAGUUGGUAGGGUAAAAGCCUACCAAGGCAUCGAUCAGUAGCUGGUCUGAGAGGACGACCAGCCACACUGGAACUGAGACACGGUCCAGACUCCUACGGGAGGCAGCAGUGGGGAAUUUUGGACAAUGGGCGAAAGCCUGAUCCAGCAAUGCCGCGUGAGUGAAGAAGGCCUUCGGGUUGUAAAGCUCUUUUGUCAGGGAAGAAACGGUGAAAGCUAAUAUCUUUUGCUAAUGACGGUACCUGAAGAAUAAGCACCGGCUAACUACGUGCCAGCAGCCGCGGUAAUACGUAGGGUGCAAGCGUUAAUCGGAAUUACUGGGCGUAAAGCGUGCGCAGGCGGUUUUGUAAGUCUGAUGUGAAAUCCCCGGGCUCAACCUGGGAAUUGCAUUGGAGACUGCAAGGCUAGAAUCUGGCAGAGGGGGGUAGAAUUCCACGUGUAGCAGUGAAAUGCGUAGAUAUGUGGAGGAACACCGAUGGCGAAGGCAGCCCCCUGGGUCAAGAUUGACGCUCAUGCACGAAAGCGUGGGGAGCAAACAGGAUUAGAUACCCUGGUAGUCCACGCCCUAAACGAUGUCUACUAGUUGUCGGGUCUUAAUUGACUUGGUAACGCAGCUAACGCGUGAAGUAGACCGCCUGGGGAGUACGGUCGCAAGAUUAAAACUCAAAGGAAUUGACGGGGACCCGCACAAGCGGUGGAUGAUGUGGAUUAAUUCGAUGCAACGCGAAAAACCUUACCUACCCUUGACAUGGCUGGAAUCCCGGAGAGAUUUGGGAGUGCUCGAAAGAGAACCAGUACACAGGUGCUGCAUGGCUGUCGUCAGCUCGUGUCGUGAGAUGUUGGGUUAAGUCCCGCAACGAGCGCAACCCUUGUCAUUAGUUGCUACGAAAGGGCACUCUAAUGAGACUGCCGGUGACAAACCGGAGGAAGGUGGGGAUGACGUCAAGUCCUCAUGGCCCUUAUGGGUAGGGCUUCACACGUCAUACAAUGGUACAUACAGAGCGCCGCCAACCCGCGAGGGGGAGCUAACCGCAGAAAGUGUAUCGUAGUCCGGAUUGUAGUCUGCAACUCGACUGCAUGAAGUUGGAAUCGCUAGUAAUCGCGGAUCAGCAUGUCGCGGUGAAUACGUUCCCGGGUCU